Molecule: non-coding RNA, 73 nt
Organism: Alosa alosa (allis shad)
Lineage: Eukaryota; Metazoa; Chordata; Actinopteri; Clupeiformes; Clupeidae
Source: the annotation of a RefSeq genome assembly
CUCCUGUUAGCUCAAUUGGUAGAGCGCACGACUCUUAAUCGUGAGGUUGCGGGUCCGAGUCCCGCAUGGGAGG